This 1056-nucleotide unclassified non-coding RNA is filed under the name Hevea brasiliensis (rubber tree). The record is from RNAcentral. Lineage: Eukaryota; Viridiplantae; Streptophyta; Magnoliopsida; Malpighiales; Euphorbiaceae.
UGCUUUUUAGGCACAAAGAUGAAGGUAUACUUAUCAAUAUAAUUUGUGUUGAUUUAAUUAUGUCUUAAAAUUUACUAAAUGGCCCACUAGUUGUGGACUUGUGGUUAUUUAUAUAUCAGACCUAACAUUUAUGCAUGUCAGAGUUAAAAGUAACUCAUAACAGAUCACAAUUUGGGAAUAAAAAAGUAACAUACCAAUGUUGGAUAUUUUAUAUGGUGCAUGUUGAUCAACUCUGUUUACAAGUUUCUCUAACUGUUUAAUACUUCGUGGGAUUCAUUAUUCAUCAGGCUGAUUGAUGCUUUUCUGGUUUAUUUCUAUAUGCCAAAAAUCAUACUAGUGACCUGCGCGUCAAAUCCAUGAGUUUAAUUAUUUUGGCCUGAAGGAGAAAAAUUUAGGAGAUAAACUGUAGAACUUAAAAAAGUAGAUGUAAUUGAUUAUCUUGGUAUUAGGCAUGUGUUCAGUGUGGUGGCGACAUACAAUCCAACAUUGUCAUUAACAAAACUAGCAUUUAAUGAGUUCCUGGUGAUGGAUGUAAUCAUGGAAACCUUUAUGUAUGCAGUUUCUUUUCAUGCAUAUGCCCAUAAUUAUGAGUUUUUGAACAUUUUUUGCAAUUUAUAGAAUGGAUCUGAUUUUUUCAGACCCACUGUGGAUAUUCUAUGCUAUAACUAAAAGUGGCUUAAGGUCUGGAGCUUUUCACACCAAAAGAGGGAUUUUUUUUAGUACUUAAGGUAUCCUAGGUGAAAUCUUAAGGGUGUUUUUUAUUUUUUACUUGGAGUUCACUGUUUCAGAUUAUGGAAAUAGACUCCUUGUUAUUCAAGGGGUAGGCUGAAUGCAUUUAACUCACCCUAGAGUAGACCCGGCCAAAGGCUGGUCCUGGUCCAGUUCCUGGCCCUUGGUGGGCUUGAAUUGUAACUGGCCAUUGAGUAGCUGGUUCGAAGCGGUUCCGGUUCGUUCAUGGUUCCAGUUCCAGUGGGCCUCAGUCCAGUUUUGGUUCCGGCAUGAAAUCUGAAUCAACAUUCUUAAAAAAACUUGAAUUUAACAAAAUUACAAAUAAAA